Molecule: small nucleolar RNA, 125 nt
Filed under: Pogona vitticeps (central bearded dragon)
Lineage: Eukaryota; Metazoa; Chordata; Lepidosauria; Squamata; Agamidae
Description: Small nucleolar RNA SNORA28 (ENSPVIG00000007024.1)
Rfam family: Small nucleolar RNA SNORA28
About the family: ACA28 is a member of the H/ACA class of snoRNA that guide the sites of modification of uridines to pseudouridines.
Source: Rfam by way of RNAcentral
AAGCAACACUCUGUGGCAGAUAACCUAAUUGUCUACCUCAAUUUAAGCUUGCUACAGUAAAUAUAGUCUACCCUAUUCCAGUGAUUUCAGUGUGUGAGGUCAUCUGUUAUAUAGACGCUAACAUC